UACGGAGGGUCCAAGCGUUAUCCGGAAUCAUUGGGUUUAAAGGGUCCGUAGGCGGUUUUGUAAGUCAGGGGUGAAAGCCCAUCGCUCAACGGUGGAACGGCCAUUGAUACUGCAAGACUUGAAUUAUUAGGAAGUAACUAGAAUAUGUAGUGUAGCGGUGAAAUGCUUAGAUAUUACAUGGAAUACCAAUUGCGAAGGCAGGUUACUACUAAUUGAUUGACGCUGAUGGACGAAAGCGUGGGGAGCGAACAGG
RNAcentral lists this ribosomal RNA (253 nucleotides) under uncultured bacterium. RNAcentral describes it as "partial 16S ribosomal RNA". It matches the Rfam family "Bacterial small subunit ribosomal RNA", at positions 524 to 776 of the family's 1533-position model. The record is from RNAcentral.